Camellia sinensis is the source of this 1851-nucleotide non-coding RNA. Lineage: Eukaryota; Viridiplantae; Streptophyta; Magnoliopsida; Ericales; Theaceae. The record is from RefSeq and is a predicted model, not a curated record.
UCAUGAGCUGCUCCUCUCUCGCGAUUAAUAUCGAUCUCUCUCAAUAGCUGUUCUUCAUUGGACUCGAACUCGAUCUUUCUCACUCUAGCUGUCUUCAUCAAACUCUGUGUGUGUGUGUGUGUGUGUGUGUGUGUGUCUCUCACAAAUCGUAGAUCUGAAAUCGAACAAGAAAGUCGAUCUAAUCUGAUCGAAAUCCAUACUCGAUCUGAUCUGAUCUGAUCUCUCUUGCAUUUUGUUAGAUUUGUUCUUGCCCUAGCUUUUCUUCAUCGAACCCGAACUUGAUCUCUUUCGCAAAUUGUAGAGCCGAAAUUGAACAAGAAAAUCGAUCUAAUCUCAUCAAAAUCCGAACUCGAUCUAAUCUGAUCUCUCACACAUUUUGUUAAAUCUGCUGAUUAACAAGGUUUCAAGCAAGUCAUUUUUAUUUUGGUUUUCAUUAACAAGUGUUAAUAGGUGUUUGAUUUCUUUGUAGGUGGCGAUGAAGUGUAGAGAUCGGUUACAUGAACUUGUAAAGGAAGAGAUAGAGAAAAAGGAUUCGAGUACGGAGGAGUGGAAGAUCGCGAUGGAGAGUAGCUUCAAUCACAUGGACAAUGAGCCACUGGAAUUUCAUGCAACUUGCAUCUAGAGCCUUUAUUUGUAAUCAUCUUUAAAAAAAAAAAAAGAAAAAAAAAGCUAAGGUUGCGGCCAUGGCACUUGCUCAGCACCCAGUUGUGAAUACUACAUGUAAAGAUGGGAAGAGUUUUACUUAUAAUAGCAGUAUAAAUAUUGCAGUUGCUGUGGCAAUUAAUGGUGGGUUGAUAACCCCUGUUCUUCCAAGGUGGUUUGGUGGAUUCCUUUCAUGUAUUCACAUUUCUUCCUCGUAAUUGAAAAGGGUGAACCAAGUUUCCAUCUAUUUGGUUUUAUAAUGUGUCAUGGUGCUACAGCUGCAAGGGCAUUAAAGUCUCUGCUUCAAGGCAUUUUGCUGUCCUCAGAAGGGGAAAAACUAAAUUCUAUGAACCUUCUGUUAUACAUGGCACCAAUAGCUGUUUAGUUCUUAAUUCCUGCUACAUUGUUGAUGGAGGAAAACAUGGUUGGGAUCAUAAUAGCUCUUGCCAGAGAUGAUAUCAAAAUAAUCUUUUAUUUACUCUUCAAUUCUGCCUUGGCAUAUUGUGUGAACUUGACCAAUUUCUUGGUCACCAAACACACCAAUGCUCUGACUCUCCAGGAUUGAGGAAAAUAAAUAUAUAUAAGAACUCAUCAUCUGUGGGGCACCUCUGUGAGAAAGUAUCUAAGCUAUACCCAAAACACUAAAAAUCGCUGGAUGGUUACCAAAAACUGCUCUAAUCUGGCUUCUUGUUGAGUAUUCAAAUCAAGCUUCUUCCUCUAUUUUGUCAGGGUUGAGAAAGAAAUAGAAGAGAGAAGAAAGAUCUCCUUUCACAAGGUUGGAAUAUCCGUGGCACCCCCAGUCAGUUUUCAGGACAUCGUUGCUUCCCACGGAGACUCUGAAGAGGAUAUUGUGGGGUGUCAGUUGCUUACAGAGGCAGUUAAGAAGGUGCAAAUUCAGGUAAAUUGGUCAUAAUGUUCAUGCAAUUACUCAUAUUGGCAUUUUUUCAUUGACAAACUAAUUCCCUGCAAGUUUGCAUCCUUUUGUUAUCUAUCCUUUCUCCUUUAGCACUGUAGGUUCUGUGACAUAACCGUACACUUUAGAUAACUAUUGCAUUGAAUUUAUGUACCAGUUUAUUUGCUUGAAUUUGAUUUGUCCCGGCCUUCUUUGCAUGCUUUUUCUCCCCCAACUUCAUGUAAAACUAAGAUGAAAGAGGAAAACAGACAAAUGAACAAGUCACAGCCAUGAUUCUUUUCCUUUUCUUUUUUUUU